GGACGAACGCUGGCGGCGUGCUUAACACAUGCAAGUCGAACGGAAAGGCCCUGCUUUUGUGGGGUGCUCGAGUGGCGAACGGGUGAGUAACACGUGAGUAACCUUCCCUUUACUUUGGGAUAACUUCAGGAAACUGGGGCUAAUACCGGAUAGGAGCUCCUGCUGCAUGGUGGGGGUUGGAAAGUUUCGGCGGUUGGGGAUGGACUCGCGGCUUAUCAGCUUGUUGGUGGGGUAGUGGCUUACCAAGGCUUUGACGGGUAGCCGGCCUGAGAGGGUGACCGGCCACAUGGGGACUGAGAUACGGCCCAGAAUCCUACGGGAGGCAGCAGUGGGGAGUAUUGCACAAUGGGCGGAAGCCUGAUGCAGCAACGCCGCGUGCGGGAUGACGGCCUUCGGGUUGUAAACCGCUUUCGCCUGUGACGAAGCGUGAGUGACGGUAAUGGGUAAAGAAGCACCGGCUAACUACGUG
RNAcentral lists this ribosomal RNA (469 nucleotides) under uncultured bacterium. RNAcentral describes it as "partial 16S ribosomal RNA". It matches the Rfam family "Bacterial small subunit ribosomal RNA", at positions 27 to 507 of the family's 1533-position model. The record is from RNAcentral.